Long non-coding RNA from Lotus japonicus, 1633 nucleotides. RefSeq lists it as uncharacterized. The transcript is spliced from 2 exons. Lineage: Eukaryota; Viridiplantae; Streptophyta; Magnoliopsida; Fabales; Fabaceae. The record is from RefSeq and is a predicted model, not a curated record.
CGUCACUAACUUGGCCUGUGGGAGCGACACGUCAUGCUAGAAGUUGUUCUUUUCUAAUAUAUAUAGAUAUAGAUUUGAAAGUAAGGAUUUAAUUAUAAUUAUUUUUGUGUGUAUUAUUUAAUUUUAAUUUUAAUAAUUUAUAUUCUUUGAUUAUCUCUUUCUUUUAUGAAGAGAUAACCUGCUCUAAUAGGUCACCUUUGUUAUUUACCUAUGAUUGCCUAUCAAGCAUUACAAAGGAAUAUUCUUUAUUCUUUUUCUCUUCUCAACCACACAUUCAAAUUUCUGAUCACUUUCUCUCUCAAGCGGGCCUUACUUCCCCAAUCAUAAUUCUAUAUACUCUCUCCCCCAUUCACUCUCUCACUCAUGCUCUCCCUCACUCACUUGACAUCUCUCUUUCUCUCUUCCUCUCCAAAACCCAUUUUCUUCUUUUAAUGGUAGAGCAACAAGAAUCAUCACCAUACUUCUUCUCCCCUCCAUGGCUGAGCAAAACGCCGCCAACAACCACCGCGUCCUCCUCACGCACAUCCACCAUCACCUCCUCUGUUUCCAGGAAGCUUGAACAGAACCACCAAGUGCCAAAACCGCCACCACCACGCGUUUUCUUCUCUGCUCCGGCGAAGCCCAGACGCGAGCACCACCUUCCCUCACGCCCAGCACCAUGAACGACCCACCACGGCCACCAUGGAUGCGAAAACCAGAGAGAAAACGAAACCCUAAAACCGCCACCUUCAAGCUCCGAUCUCCGGCGAACCACUAAUCUUUUGGAGAAAUCAACACCACCAUUGGACUCCUCUCAUCAUCCGCAACAAAACCCCCAAAUCAAUUUGAUGUUCCGACAACCUUCGCCGGGAACCGCCGCCGGCCACCGUGAACCACCGUCUUCUCCGGCCAACCUUCGCCGGAAAUGUCACUGAACUUAAAACCAGGAAGCUCUCCUUCUCCUCUUGCUGAAUUGAUUAUCAAUUUUGGUUUUGUGCUAUUGUUGUCAGCCUUGAUGAUCACACUUGGAGAGGGCAGCCAUGACCAGCAAAGGAGAAUCCUCCUACUGCCUUCAACUUUGAUAGGGUUGACAUUCUUAACUGCAUCGAAUGAUUACUAGAGUCUUUAUGCUUCUCUAAGUCUUAAAUCAUUGUCAAUUUUGCUGCCCAAGUGCCUUGUAAAAAUUAAUGAAGAAAUAUAGAAUAGUGUAUGUGUGUGGUGUGAGUGAUAGUGUUAUGAUUGUUGAUUUCUAAGGGCAUGAGGGUUCAGCCCUUACUAUGCUUGAAAAUCUUUUGCGAAAACUCACAUAAAACUGUUGUUGUUUUCAAUGUAGUAGUCGUUGUUCUGUCAAAUUCGUGUGUUUUGGUUCAUAUUUUGGAACUGUGUUCUUCAUAACAAUUGUAGCGUUUUCUGUUAGCAAACUUUUGCCGCUGGUUUCAUGUCAUUCGGAUUUCUCUAGCUUAGGUUAUACGCAUUUUAGUGAGCACGGGUUAAGCUGUCCCGUUUCUCACGAACUGCUAUAGUAUUCGAUUUUUCCUAAAUUUUGUACUUUGAGUUUUGACUUGAAAAUUUAUGAGGAUUUACAAAACUUGUAAAAGAAGCCAUGAUAAAAAUAUUAGAUUUUUCGGAGUUUAGUUGACGUAUUUAAAAAUUA